AUGAAUGGAUACUCUGAGAUAGAACGAGAAAAAGCAAAUUUGAUUAAUGCUACUUCUAUUAGUUUGGAACAAUUGGAAAAGUCUAAAAACGAAACCCUUUAUUUUGAAAAACAAAGGGCAAUGAAUCAGGUCCGACAGCGGGUUUUCCAACAGGCCGUACAAGGAGCUCUAGGAAAAAAAAUUUUUGUUUGGUAUACUGUGUGCUAA
RNAcentral lists this ribosomal RNA (207 nucleotides) under Triticum aestivum (bread wheat). RNAcentral describes it as "partial small subunit ribosomal RNA". Lineage: Eukaryota; Viridiplantae; Streptophyta; Magnoliopsida; Poales; Poaceae. The record is from RNAcentral.